AAAAAAACACAUGGAAAACUUAUUGCGAUUGACAGAGUAUAAACUGCUCGUGGUGCUUGGUCAAUGAUGACAUCACCAAGGUGGUGCCCCUUUACUUUGGGUUCUGCAGCUUCUUGGUAUCUGUUGAGGUCACCUUAAUACUGCAGUACAGGCUGUGCCUCUGGCAUGGUGGCGCUCAUACAGAUGCUGGAUAUCCUCCUGUGGUUAUUUGGAAAAGCUGCGAAUCUGCUGAACUGAACGACAAUGAGGCGAAUACUCUCUCGGGUGAUCUGUGGGUCCGAUUGGGUUUCUGCCAGGAAGAAUUCACAGCAGAUUUUAAGCCGAUGUGCGAACAUAGCCUUACAUGUGGUUUUUCAUAGACCUUUCAUGACGGUCUAUAAAUCGAGAUUGCUGGAUUAAAGGAAUUUAGCU
Molecule: long non-coding RNA, 411 nt
Organism: Bufo bufo (common toad)
Lineage: Eukaryota; Metazoa; Chordata; Amphibia; Anura; Bufonidae
Exons: 2
Source: RefSeq, a predicted model, not a curated record